ANUCGCNGCCUAAWCAUGCAAGUCGAACGGUGGUAGCAAUACCAUAGUGGCGCACGGGUGCGUAACACGUAACUAACCUGCCUAAGACUGGGGGAUAGCCCGCCGAAAGGCGGAUUAAUACCGCAUAAUAUCUUUUACUGGCAUCAGUGGUAGAUUAAACCUGAGGGGGUCUUGGAUGGGGUUGCGGGUCAUUAGCUAGUUGGUAAGGUAACGGCUUACCAAGGCGACGAUGACUAGGGGAGCUGAGAGGCUGGUCCCCCACACGGGCACUGAGAUACGGGCCCGACUCCUACGGGAGGCAGCAGUAGGGAAUAUUGGGCAAUGGGCGAGAGCCUGACCCAGCCAUGCCGCGUGCAGGAAGAAGGCUUUCUGAGUCGUAAACUGCUUUUGAUAGGGAAGAAUAAGCACGACGUGUCGUGUGAUGACGGUACCUACAGAAUAAGCACCGGCUAACUCCGUGCCAGCAGCCGCGGUAAUACGGAGGGUGCGAGCGUUGUCCGGAUUUAUUGGGUUUAAAGGGUGCGUAGGCGGCCCGUUAAGUCCGGGGUGAAAGCCCGUUGCUCAACAACGGAACUGCCCUGGAUACUGGCGGGCUUGAGUACAGUGGAGGUUGGCGGAAUGGACCGAGUAGCGGUGAAAUGCAUAGAUACGGUCCAGAACCCCGAUUGCGAAGGCAGCUGACUACCACUGGAACUGACGCUGAGGCACGACAGCGUGGGGAGCGAACAGGAUUAGAUACCCUGGUAGUCCACGCCGUAAACGAUGGAUACUCGCUGCGGGCUAAAGAUUGUCCGUGGCUUANGGAAACCGAUAAGUAUCCCACCUGGGGAGUACGCCGGCNACGGUGAAACUCAAAGGAAUUGACGGG
Molecule: ribosomal RNA, 868 nt
Filed under: uncultured bacterium
Lineage: Bacteria
Description: bacterial SSU rRNA
Rfam family: Bacterial small subunit ribosomal RNA
Source: RNAcentral